This is a non-coding RNA of Mus caroli (Ryukyu mouse), 1026 nucleotides long. Lineage: Eukaryota; Metazoa; Chordata; Mammalia; Rodentia; Muridae. The record is from the annotation of a RefSeq genome assembly.
AUGCUGCUCCUGAGAUGGUUCACCUCCUGCUGCUGCCUCUGGGUUUUUGGGCUUGGGCAGCUAGAGCAAACUGAAGUAUCGGUCACCAGAGCGACAGAUGAGAGUGCACAAAUACCCUGUAUAGUUUCUCUUCCAGACUUCAGCAACACAGAAAUACACUGGUACCGGCAAAAAGCAAAACAGUUUGAAUAUCUAAUAUAUGUUGUGACAAACUAUAAUCAAAGACCCUUAGGAAGGAAGAACAAAAAAAUUGAAGCAAGUAAAGAUUUUCAAACUUCUACCUCAACCUUGAAAAUAAAUUACUUGAAGAAAGAAGAUGAAGCCACCUACUACUGUGCAGUCUGGACAGGCACAUCAUGGGUCAAGAUAUUUGCCAAAGGGACAAAGCUCGUAGUAAUUCCCCCAGACAAACGCACUGACUCCGACUUUUCUCCCAAGCCUACUAUUUUCCUUCCUUCUGCUGCUGAAACAAAUCUCCAUAAGGCUGGGACAUACCUUUGUCUCCUUGAAAAGUUCUUUCCUGAAGUCAUAAGGGUGUAUUGGAAAGAAAAGGAUGGUGAUAAGAUUCUGGAAUCUCAGGAAGGAAACACCAUAAAAACUAAUGACAGAUACAUGAAAUUUAGUUGGCUGACGGUGACUGGAGAUUCAAUGGCUAAAGAACAUAGUUGCAUUGUCAAACACGAAAACAACAAAAGAGGAGUUGACCAAGAGAUUCUGUUUCCUCCGAUAGGUAAAGCUGCCAACAUCAUUACUCCCACAGAAUCUGCUUUGAAGACUGAGAGUGCUUUCACAACUAUUAAUGUUAAUCCCAGAGACAGUGUUUUGCGACAUGAAAAUGUUAACAAUGCUACUGAUCUGGAAGCUUGCAUGAAAGGAAGAAAGGAUAUGUUGCAGCUUCAGGUCACCACCACCUGUGCAUUCUACACCUACCUCAUCCUGUUCUUCAAGAGCAUGGUCCACUUGGCCUUUGUUGUAUUCUGUCUAUUCAGAAGAGCAGCCAUGUCCUGUGAUGAUCAACGUUCAUAA